RNAcentral lists this ribosomal RNA (440 nucleotides) under uncultured bacterium. Its description in RNAcentral is "partial 16S ribosomal RNA". It matches the Rfam family "Bacterial small subunit ribosomal RNA", at positions 338 to 795 of the family's 1533-position model. The record is from RNAcentral.
CCUACGGGAGGCAGCAGUGGGGAAUAUUGCACAAUGGGGGAAACCCUGAUGCAGCGACGCCGCGUGAAGGAAGAAGUAUUUCGGUAUGUAAACUUCUAUCAGCAGGGAAGAAAAUGACGGUACCUGACUAAGAAGCCCCGGCUAACUACGUGCCAGCAGCCGCGGUAAUACGUAGGGGGCAAGCGUUAUCCGGAUUUACUGGGUGUAAAGGGAGCGUAGGCGGUUUAGCAAGUCAGAAGUGAAAGCCCGGGGCUCAACUCCGGGACUGCUUUUGAAACUGUUGAACUAGAUUGCAGGAGAGGUAAGUGGAAUUCCUAGUGUAGCGGUGAAAUGCGUAGAUAUUAGGAGGAACACCAGUGGCGAAGGCGGCUUACUGGACUGUAAAUGACGCUGAGGCUCGAAAGCGUGGGGAGCAAACAGGAUUAGAUACCCCUGUAGUC